UUCUGGUGCCCCCUGGCAGUUCAGCCCUGCCUUGGUCUCCUUGCUCUGAAAACCCUUUCUCCUAGAGGCAGGGGCGGAAGGUCCGAACCCGCGCCUCUGUGAGUGGUGAACCUCGGGGUCCUAGCAGCAGCCUCAGGUUAAUGCUGCAGUCUAGGCGAGGAGGUGGAAGGUAACCCUCUGGGGUUCCAUUUCAAGUUCCACCAUUGACACACCAUGUUUUGUUGGGAGAGUCAUUUUAAUCUCCCUCUGCCUGUUGCUCGGGCUGCAAAAAGAAGAUAACAAGCAUUCCUCCGGGGGUGUUGAGAGGACUAAUUAGAUAUGCAACAUGCUAAGGAGCCCCUUGGAGAGAGAAGCUACAGGACCACAAGGCAAUGCUGUCUUGACUGGUGGCUUGAUUCCCUGAUGGGCAGAUCAAGGCUUCCUGGUUCCUCAGUUGAUUUGGAUGCUUCAGCUACUGGCAGGCGCUGCUAUGGACUUCAUUUGCUGGGGUUUUCUCAGCUUUCAAAGUUCAAAAGAUCAUCACCUGGUCUAUCUUUUUCCAACACUCAUGACCUAAAGUCAGGAUAGAAAAGAGACAAUAGGGAGAUAAGAAACAGGAAUGUCAUACAUUCAUGGUGAAUUUAGUAGGAAAGGGGAUUAAAAACUGGGAGGCUUA
Long non-coding RNA from Monodelphis domestica (gray short-tailed opossum), 655 nucleotides. RefSeq lists it as uncharacterized. NCBI's taxonomy places the organism in Eukaryota, Metazoa, Chordata, Mammalia, Didelphimorphia, Didelphidae. The record is from RefSeq and is a predicted model, not a curated record.